AACGAAGGAAUACAUUGGAAUGACGGCGGGGACGUUCAAGAAGAGGCAUGCGAACCAUAAAAUUCACUAACUGUUCCUCGGUAUUCAGCGGAAACAGAGUUAUCAAAGUAUGCGUGGAAACUCAAGAAAAGCGGGAAGCAAUACAACAUCAAGUGGAGCAUACUAAAGCGUGCCCGUGCGCAUACGGCUGGUGCAGCAAGAUGCAAUCUGUGCCUUGAAGAGAAGGUUUGCUUACUGGAAGCUGACAAAAGCAGGAUAUUGAAUAAACGCUCAGAAAUAUUCGCGAAAUGCUGUCAUAGAAAUAGUUUUAGCGCGCGCAAAUUUGAACGCACGCGAGAUGCGUCAGCAAACCGUUAGUUUAGAGCACGUCAUUGAAUCAACUUCAUUCGCCUGAAGAUCGCUUUGAAAGAAGCGUGAAACACAGUGUAGCGACAAAUAUAUUUUAAGAUUAAAGAAUUAUUUAAGCUCUA
RNAcentral lists this long non-coding RNA (470 nucleotides) under Paramuricea clavata. The record is from RNAcentral. Lineage: Eukaryota; Metazoa; Cnidaria; Anthozoa; Malacalcyonacea; Plexauridae.